GAGUUUGAUCAUGGCUCAGGACGAACGCUGGCGGCGUGCUUAACACAUGCAAGUGGAGCGACGAACCAGGGCUUGCCCUGGGGCAGAGCCGCGAACGGGUGAGUAACACGUGGGUAACCUACCCCGAUGACCGGGACAACCCGAGGAAACUCGGGCUAAUACUGGAUGAACUCUUCUCACAUGAGUGAGAUUUGAAAAGGAAGCUUCGGCCUCCGCAUUGGGAUGGGCCCGCGGCCCAUUAGCUUGUUGGUGGGGUAACGGCCUACCAAGGCUUCGAUGGGUAGCUGGUCUGAGAGGACGAUCAGCCACACUGGGACUGAGACACGGCCCAGACUCCUACGGGAGGCAGCAGUGGGGAACCUUGCGCAAUGCGCGAAAGCGUGACGCAGCAACGCCGCAUGCGGG
RNAcentral lists this ribosomal RNA (405 nucleotides) under uncultured bacterium. Its description in RNAcentral is "bacterial SSU rRNA". It matches the Rfam family "Bacterial small subunit ribosomal RNA", at positions 9 to 407 of the family's 1533-position model. The record is from RNAcentral.